UAAUACGGGGGAUGCGAGCGUUGUCCGGAUUCACUGGGCGUAAAGGGCGCGUAGGCGGCCGUAUCAGUCGGAUUUAUAAGUGCGGGGCUCAACCCCGUGAUGGGUUCGGGACGGUACGGCUGGGGCGCGGCAGAGGGAGACGGAAUGCCGGGUGUAGUGGUGAAAUGCGUAGAGAUCCGGCGGAACACCGGUGAUGAAGAUGGUCUCCUGGGCCGAGGGCCGACGCUGAGGCGCGAGAGCGUGGGGAGCGAACCGGAUUAGAUACCCGGGUAGUCCACGCCGUAAACGGUGGAUACUAGGUGUGGGGGGUAUCGACCCCUCCCGUGCCGGCGCGAACGCAGGAAGUAUCCCGCCUGGGGAGUACGGCCGCAAGGCUA
RNAcentral lists this ribosomal RNA (377 nucleotides) under uncultured bacterium. RNAcentral describes it as "bacterial SSU rRNA". It matches the Rfam family "Bacterial small subunit ribosomal RNA", at positions 521 to 896 of the family's 1533-position model. The record is from RNAcentral.